Molecule: long non-coding RNA, 749 nt
Organism: Eleginops maclovinus (Patagonian blennie)
Lineage: Eukaryota; Metazoa; Chordata; Actinopteri; Perciformes; Eleginopidae
Exons: 15
Source: RefSeq, a predicted model, not a curated record
CCUCAUUCCUCCGCUGCUCACAUGGCCUCAGGAUAGGAUCCCUACAAACUGGAGCUGGACAAUAAAUGGCCUCAGGACAGCCUCUCUGCAAGAUGGCGUCAGACAUUAAAUGGUGGCAAAAGAUGUCUGUAAGCUGGGAACCACCUCAGACACUGAGCUGGUCUCAGGAAAUCCAGGAGACAUGAAGCAGAUGGUGAAACUAAACAAGGUGUGCUUACCCUGGACGGCCUGACCUUCACAUGACCUCCAGAGCAGCUGGUCCUCUGAUCAUGGCUCCUCCCCACCUGCACCUGGGUUCAGUCACAGGUGCUGGAAGACGUGGCACUGCAGGAAUCCUGGGAGUUCAAAGAGCUCAACCUGAGAAACAAGACUGUGGCGCCGCAAAGAACCACGUAAAGACAUGAAGACCCUUCCUGUGUGAGGAAUCUCCACCUUCAAACCUCCUGGUGCUCUGGAGGCUGCAGUGAAGACGGAAGAGACUUGAGGAAGGAGCCUCGCCUGUCAGACUCAGCACGGCACGGUUAAGGCCCUAAAACCAAGGAAAGAGCAGCUGCUGUCAGACUGAACAUGGGACACCUGAGGACAGGAAACAGGAAGAAGCCCCUCUCCUUCAUCAGAGACCCUGUGCUGAGGACUCCCUGACCUCCAGAGCAGGUGCUCUCUGGAUGGAGACCCUCAGAGCCUGCGGUCGACUCCAGAAUAUCCAGACUGUGUUUGCAGGAUGUGUGGAAAUAAAUAUGAAAAACAAA